CAAUAGCGUAUAUUAAAGUUGUUGCAGUUAAAAAGCUCGUAGUUGGAUCUCGGGAGCAGGCCGGCGGUCCGCCUCGCGGCGGUUACUGCCUGUCCUGCCCUACCUGCCGGUUUUCCCCCGGUGCUCUUCAUUGAGUGCCUCGGGUGGCCGGAACGUUUACUUUGAAAAAAUUAGAGUGUUCAAAGCAGGCAUUUCGCCUGAAUAAUGGUGCAUGGAAUAAUGGAAUAGGACCUCGGUUCUAUUUUGUUGGUUUUCGGAACUUGAGGUAAUGAUUAAGAGGGACAGACGGGGGCAUUCGUAUUACACUGUUAGAGGUGAAAUUCUUGGAUCGGUGUAAGACGAACUACUGCGAAAGCAUUUGCCAAGAAUGUUUUCAUUAAUCAAGAACGAAAGUCAGAGGUU
This 402-nucleotide ribosomal RNA is filed under the name Annelida sp. MM01402. Its description in RNAcentral is "SSU rRNA". It matches the Rfam family "Eukaryotic small subunit ribosomal RNA", at positions 592 to 998 of the family's 1831-position model. Lineage: Eukaryota; Metazoa; Annelida. The record is from RNAcentral.